GGAUGGAGCAGCCCGGUAGCUCGUCAGGCUCAUAACCUGAAGGUCGUAGGUUCAAAUCCUACUCCCGCAACCA
RNAcentral lists this transfer RNA (73 nucleotides) under Mesorhizobium hungaricum. RNAcentral describes it as "Mesorhizobium sp. UASWS1009 tRNA-Met". It matches the Rfam family "tRNA". Rfam says of the family: Transfer RNA (tRNA) molecules are approximately 80 nucleotides in length. Their secondary structure includes four short double-helical elements and three loops (D, anti-codon, and T loops). Further hydrogen bonds mediate the characteristic L-shaped molecular structure. tRNAs have two regions of fundamental functional importance: the anti-codon, which is responsible for specific mRNA codon recognition, and the 3' end, to which the tRNAs corresponding amino acid is attached (by aminoacyl-tRNA synthetases). tRNAs cope with the degeneracy of the genetic code in two manners: having more than one tRNA (with a specific anti-codon) for a particular amino acid; and 'wobble' base-pairing, i.e. permitting non-standard base-pairing at the 3rd anti-codon position. RNAcentral also lists the same sequence under 1 other name. Lineage: Bacteria; Pseudomonadati; Pseudomonadota; Alphaproteobacteria; Hyphomicrobiales; Phyllobacteriaceae. The record is from RNAcentral.